Molecule: ribosomal RNA, 253 nt
Filed under: uncultured bacterium
Lineage: Bacteria
Description: partial 16S ribosomal RNA
Rfam family: Bacterial small subunit ribosomal RNA
Source: RNAcentral
UACGUAGGGGGCUAGCGUUGUCCGGAUUUAUUGGGCGUAAAGAGCUCGUAGGCGGCUUGGCAAGUCGGAAGUUAAAACAAGAGGCUUAACCUCCUGUCGCUUUCGAUACUGCUAUGGCUUGAGUCUGGUAGGGGAUGACGGAAUUCCACGUGUAGCAGUGAAAUGCGUAGAGAUCGUGAGGAAGACCAGUGGCGAAGGCGGAUCUCUGGACAGUUCCUGACGCUGAGGCGCGAAGGCCAGGGGAGCAAACGGG